RNAcentral lists this ribosomal RNA (391 nucleotides) under Chrysamoeba tenera. RNAcentral's name for it is "partial small subunit ribosomal RNA". It matches the Rfam family "Eukaryotic small subunit ribosomal RNA", at positions 30 to 432 of the family's 1831-position model. The record is from RNAcentral. Lineage: Eukaryota; Chrysophyceae; Chromulinales; Chrysoamoebidaceae.
GCUUGUCUCAAAGAUUAAGCCAUGCAUAUCUAAGAAUAACUAACAUUAUCUUGAAUCUGUGAAUGGCUCAUUAUAUCAGUUAUAGUUUACAUGAUAGUCAAUACUACUUGGAUAACCGUAGUAAUUCUAGAGCUAAUACAUGCAUCAAACCCCGACUCACGAAGGGGUGUAUUUAUUAGAUGGAAACCAAUGCGGGGCAACCCGGAUUAUGGUGAUUCAUAAUAACUUUCAGAUCGAUCGCAAGAUCGAUGCAUCAUUCAAGUUUCUGCCCUAUCAGCUUUGGAUGGUAGGGUAUUGGCCUACCAUGGCUUUAACGGGUAACGGAGAAUUAGGGUUCGAUUCCGGAGAGGGAGCCUGAGAAACGGCUACCACAUCCAAGGAAGGCAGCAGG